Molecule: long non-coding RNA, 330 nt
Filed under: Elaeis guineensis (African oil palm)
Lineage: Eukaryota; Viridiplantae; Streptophyta; Magnoliopsida; Arecales; Arecaceae
Description: long non-coding RNA (EGUI_LNC048408)
Source: RNAcentral
CUCCCCUUUGGAUCCAACACCCAAAGGAGUUGGACAUCCUCCAUCUCUACACCCAAGAGGAGCUUGGGCAUCUCCUUUUCUUUGCUGAUUUUUAGAUCUUGAUUGCUUUAUAAUCAAGGAAAGAAGAGCAAGAGAAAAAGAGAAGAAAAAGAUUAAGAAAAGGAUCAAAGAGUUGAUCGUGAUCCAGGCUUCAUUUAGAUUCGCAAGGUGAUUGUUCUUGAAGAAGAAAAAUCAGCACCAAAGAGGGAUUCGCAAGGUGAUUGUUCUUGAAGAAGAAAAAUCAGCACCAAAGAGGACUAUUCCAGACUGAUCCUGAGUAGAUACCCAUAG